Molecule: non-coding RNA, 257 nt
Filed under: Metabacillus litoralis
Lineage: Bacteria; Bacillati; Bacillota; Bacilli; Caryophanales; Bacillaceae
Description: Bacillus litoralis T-box sequence
Rfam family: T-box leader
About the family: Uncharged tRNA acts as the effector for transcription antitermination of genes in the T-box leader family. T-boxes are found upstream of many aminoacyl-tRNA synthetase genes and some amino acid biosynthetic genes usually in Gram-positive bacteria.
Source: RNAcentral
UUAAAUACAUUGAAGAGGAAUAGUAGGGUUUUAUAAGCGUACAGAGAGCUGUUGGUUGGUGCAAAACAGUCGUAGACAAAAUCCGAACUCGCCUUGAAGUAGCUCGCUGAAAUUUUUAAGAGUAGGUGGAGACGGAGCCUAACCGUUACAGUAGGAGGAUAUAGGUUUUAUAAAACCCGUGUCUGUCUGAGUGCAUACCAAUUUGGUAUGAAUUAGAGUGGUACCGCGUGAGAUUUUAACAGUCUUUCGUCUCUUUU